AAAUAAAUAAAUAAAUUAUUUCUGAGAUAGGUACAACUUUGGAGAUAACUUUGGGGAUAAACAGGAAUGGAUCAAUUUUAUGUUUGGAUAAAAAUUAGAUUAUUUUCGAGAAUAAAGAAAAUAGCAUUUGGAUAAUUAGAUAAAAACAAUAGGAAUAAGAGUAAUUAUAGUUUUAAAAUAAUAAUAUUUUAUAUAAAUAAUAUAUUAACAUCAAAAUAUUAAUUAAAUAAUAAUUUAACAAAUUAAUUAAUCAACUAUAUAAUCAUAAAUAUUAAAAAAUAAAUUAAUUAGGACAUUAAUUAAUUAGCUAUGAGUAUUGUUAAUUAAUAUAUUAACUAACCAUAAAUAAUUUGAUAAAUUAUAAUAAAUUAAUAUAUUAAUAUAAUAAAUUAAUUAGUUAAUUAUUUAAUUAGUUAUAUUGGUCAAAAUAUUAAUUGAUUAAUUUUUUAAUUAGAUAAUUAAUUAUUAUGAAUAAUAAGUUAAUUUACUAAAUAGUUAAUUAAAUAUUUAUUAUAGUAAUAAAUCAAGUUGGCUAAUUAUUAAUCUAGCUAAUAGGUUAAUAAAAUAAUAUAUAAUAAAUUAAUUAGUAAUAUUUUAUUAUUAAAUUAAUAGAGGUAUAAAGAGAAGGAAUUGUUAUUCCACUAAAAGGAUGGAAUAAUA
RNAcentral lists this long non-coding RNA (660 nucleotides) under Ananas comosus (pineapple). Its description in RNAcentral is "long non-coding RNA (ACOM_LNC037346)". The record is from RNAcentral. Lineage: Eukaryota; Viridiplantae; Streptophyta; Magnoliopsida; Poales; Bromeliaceae.